This 296-nucleotide long non-coding RNA is filed under the name Lathyrus oleraceus (garden pea). Its description in RNAcentral is "Pisum sativum (pea) long non-coding RNA (PSAT_LNC018627)". Lineage: Eukaryota; Viridiplantae; Streptophyta; Magnoliopsida; Fabales; Fabaceae. The record is from RNAcentral.
UCAGACCCCUUUCCCUAUUUGACAGUAGUCUCUGACAAAUAAGUUGAAGUAUUGCCUCUUUCAUAAAGGACACGACCACAACACUGACAUCUACAUCCAACUAAAGGAUGUCAUCAAAGGAUUGAUCAAAAGAGACUAAUCAGUCUAUUACAUGAAAGCGGACAAAAGAGAAUGGGAGGAAUAACCCAAGGGCAAGUCUCCGUCUAAAUAUACCAAAGAAGGAAUUAGUGGCGAGAGUAAAGAGACCAACAAAGAUAAGUGCACAUAUAUCGCCACCAUCAUAGGAGGAGAAUCCU